CAGUCGCCACGGUAAUACGGAGGGUGCAAGCGUUACUCGGAAUUACUGGGCGUAAAGCGUGCGUAGGUGGUGGUUUAAGUCCGUUGUGAAAGCCCUGGGCUCAACCUGGGAAUUGCAGUGGAUACUGGGUCACUAGAGUGUGGUAGAGGAUAGUGGAAUUUCCGGUGUAGCAGUGAAAUGCGUAGAGAUCGGAAGGAACAUCUGUGGCGAAGGCGACUAUCUGGGCCAACACUGACACUGAGGCACGAAAGCGUGGGGAGCAAACAGGAUUAGAUACCCCUGUAGUCCCUGUCUCUUAUAC
This 301-nucleotide ribosomal RNA is filed under the name uncultured bacterium. Its description in RNAcentral is "partial 16S ribosomal RNA". It matches the Rfam family "Bacterial small subunit ribosomal RNA", at positions 509 to 807 of the family's 1533-position model. The record is from RNAcentral.